Molecule: long non-coding RNA, 1601 nt
Organism: Oncorhynchus tshawytscha (Chinook salmon)
Lineage: Eukaryota; Metazoa; Chordata; Actinopteri; Salmoniformes; Salmonidae
Source: Ensembl
GACGGCUCAUAAUGUCAGGAGUGGAAGGGUUGUAAAACCACAGGAGGCUGUUGGGGAGGACGGCUCAUAAUGUCAGGAGUGGAAGGGUUGUAAAACAGAAGGGAACUAUGUGUUUGAUACCAGUCACUUCACCACAUUCCUCCCAUCACUAUGAGCCCUUCCUCCCCAAUUAAUAAGGUGCCCCCAGUCGCAUGUGGUGUGGUACAAAAUACUAUAUGUACCGUGUUAGUGGUGUUAUAUAAAUACUAUAUGUACCGUGGCUGUGUAAUUAGUGAAUCAUUUGGAUAUACUGUAUGUAGUAGAAAAUACUAAUAGUACCGUGUUAGUGGUGAUAUAUAAAUACUAUAUGUACAAAUAAUUAAAAAAAAUAAUUGUAAGGAUAAUUAUCAGCUUUGGCUAGAAGAGCCACACUAAUGUCGGGAUUCAAUCCCAUGGUGCUUUGUCAACAACGCACCAUUUAAACCUUUCCGAUUGAACCAACAUGCAGCGAGGAAUGUGGUCUCCCCGACAGGUGCGGACUUUGCCUAUGAAUGACGUUAAUGGCGUUGUUGACGAAGCGCAGUCAGAUUGAAUCGGGGACUAACAGUGAUCUGGUUUAGUACAGGUGGACUUUAAUUAAAGGGGCAAUGCAGGAUUCAAAAGAACAACAAAGUGUUCUCCGUUAUCAUCCAAUCCCAGAUCAGGAUUAUUUAUUUAUUAGUUAUCAUUCGCUAAGAAGUCAAAAAACAGAUGUGGUCCGACCAAUCCCAGAUCAGGAUUAUUUACAUACAUAGUUUGUGAGGCACUAAUAUGGAUUUACAUAUUCCAUUACCAGGCACUUUUUAUCCACAUCAACUUUCAGUCAGUCAGUCAUUUUUACAUAUGGGGAGGCCCCAGGAAUCAAACCCACAAUCCUGGUGUUGUAAAUGCUCUACCAACUGAACCACAGAGGACAGGCUCUACCAACUGAGUCCACAGAGGACAGGUUCUACCAGCUGAGUCACAGAGGACAGGUUCUACCAACUGAGCCACAGAGGACAGGUUCUACCAACUGAGCGACAGAGGACAGGCUCUACCAACUGAACCACAGAGGACAGGUUCUACCAACUGAGUCACAGAUGACAGGUUCUACCAACUGAGUUACAGAGGACAGGUUCUACCAACUGAACCACAGAGGACAGGUUCUACCAACUGAGUCACAGAGGACAGGUUCUACCAACUGAGUUACAGAGGACAGGCUCUACCAACUGAACCACAGAGGACAGGCUCUACCAACUGAGCCACAGAGGACAGGUUCUACCAACUGAGUCACAGAGGACAGGUUCUACCAACUGAGUUACAGAGGACAGGUUCUACCAACUGAGUCCACAGAGGACAGGUUCUACCAUAGAACUACAUUUUUAGAUAUGCUAAUAUCUCCUCUCACUUUUUCUUUCCCUCCCUCCAACUGUCUCCCCCUCUUUUUCUCUCCCUCUCUCCCACACCUCUCUCGGUCUCUUUCUCUCCCACUAUCCUCCCCUUUCUCUCUCCCUCUCUCCCACACCUCUCUCAGUCUCUUUCUCUCCCACUAUCCCCCCCUCUCUCCCCUCUCCCUCUCUCCCACACCUCUCUCGGUCUCUUUC